UAGGGAAUCUUCGGCAAUGGGGGCAACCCUGACCGAGCAACGCCGCGUGAGUGAAGAAGGUUUUCGGAUCGUAAAGCUCUGUUGUAAGAGAAGAACCUGUGUGAGAGUGGAAAGUUCACACAGUGACGGUAACUUACCAGAAAGGGACGGCUAACUACGUGCCAGCAGCCGCGGUAAUACGUAGGUCCCGAGCGUUGUCCGGAUUUAUUGGGCGUAAAGCGAGCGCAGGCGGUUUAAUAAGUCUGAAGUUAAAGGCAGUGGCUUAACCAUUGUUCGGUUUGGAAACUGUUAAACUUGAGUGCAGAAGGGGAGAGUGGAAUUCCAUGUGUAGCGGUGAAAUGCGUAGAUAUAUGGAGGAACACCGGUGGCGAAAGCGGCUCUCUGGUCUGUAACUGACGCUGAGGCUCGAAAGCGUGGGGAGCAAACAGG
This 429-nucleotide ribosomal RNA is filed under the name bacterium. RNAcentral's name for it is "partial 16S ribosomal RNA". It matches the Rfam family "Bacterial small subunit ribosomal RNA", at positions 355 to 776 of the family's 1533-position model. The record is from RNAcentral.